RNAcentral lists this long non-coding RNA (2664 nucleotides) under Bombyx mandarina (wild silkworm). Lineage: Eukaryota; Metazoa; Arthropoda; Insecta; Lepidoptera; Bombycidae. The record is from RNAcentral.
CCUUAUUGUCAUAGCUCUCAAAAUUCUCAAUUAUAUUAAGUGUAUAAUCGAAGGUUAUAGGUUAUUGUAGUUUGUUUCAAUUAUUUGUAAUAGUGCCUAGACUUGGCACUAUUACAAAUAAUUGAGGUGCGACGGUGCAGUAUUAAGGCCAAUGCGCAAUCUAUUUAUCGUGGUGAUAAAGUCUCGGCUGGCUUCUUUCAAUAUAUUGUACCCGAGUCUAACAGGAAACUCGUCAUAGGAAUGUCCAUUGCAUUUUUAACAUCAGCAGCAUUAUUACCCUCAUAAGCGGUUUUAUCAACUAUUUCAUUGCCAGCGAUACCUCGGUGAGAAGAUUCCAGCCAUAUGUUAGAUAGUGUUGGAGAUUUUCCACUUAAGAAAUCCUCUCUUGUUGUUAGAGGCCCAGGGGUUCUGUUAAAUUUCAUAUACCAGUCCAGACGACUUUUAGUCAUGUAUUCAAAUAUUUUACCUAGACAUGAAGAUAAUGAUAUUGGUCUAUAAGAGCCGGCAAGUUUUGAAGGUUUAUCUGGUUUGAGUAUUGGAAUGACACAUUGUGUAGUCCAUUGUGCGGAAUACAUUUAGAGUGCCAAAGUAAAUUAAGAAUAUUAAGAAAGUUUUUAUGCUGAUUCAUCUAAAUUUUUAAUAAAUCUAUAGGGUAAAUUAUCGAAACCAGGUGGUUUUCCGAGAUAACAAACUCAUUUUAGAAUCACUCCAUGUAAGAGGAUCUAGUAAACAUUUGGAAUUUAGGCUGUCAUUAUUUAACUCGAUAAUAUUGCCUAAACUACCAACAUUUAAAUUGCUAUUAUCAGACAUUGUGUCUAGAAAUUCAGAAACAAAACACAUCUCUGUAUGUUUUAUUACCAGCUUUUAUACCUUUGAACAUUUUAAGGAGAUUCCAAAUCUUACUUCUGGGAGUAGUUCUAUUGAAGGUUUUACAUAAGUUAUUCCAACCUAUUCUUUUUUGUUCAGAUAUAGUUCUUUUUUUAAGUGCAUCUGUUCUUUUGUAAUCUAAAUAAUUUUCCAUAGUAGGUUCAUUUCUGUAAAGUUUCAAGGCAUUGUAAGAGGCAAUACUCUUUUUUCACAAAUGUCAUUCCACCAGGGAGCUGGAGGUCUGCUCUUAAACUUAUUUGGUUUAGUGAGUUUAGGAAUUCUCAUAUCUUUUAAAGUCUCUAAUCAGGAACAAAAAUCAUUAUGGGCUGAAAUAGGAUCAUUCAAUUUUAGUUCUAAAUCAUUAAAUAUUGUUUUGUAAAUAGUUUGAUAUUUUGUCCAAUCUGCUUUUUUAUAUAUAAACCUAUAAAUGGUGAGAUUAUUAUUUUUUAUUAUUAUUAUUUCAAUACAUAUUAUGUAGUGAAAUCUCUGUAAUUGUUGGGUAGUGAUAGCUACCCAUGGCAUCAUCAUGUAUAAACCACUCACUUAUUGAUGCGAGGUUAGCACUUAUAAAGCUAACAUCAAUUGGCCGUAGUUAUACAGAAAGAAUCCAACCCACACAGAAGUAGUUUUGAGAUAUUUAAGUUUUAAGUUGGACCCAUUUACGCAAACAAGAACCAACCCACAGCAGGUUAGUGUGCAAAAUGCAUAGAUAUUAUAAUAAUGAAUGAAUACUUUUUAAACCUAUUUGGGAUACUGUAACCUAUCUAGGAAUAUUUGAUUGAUAUAGUUUAUGUAGUUACAGUAUAAACUAAAUCUUUAAAAACCCGGUUGGUUCUUUCUUGCAAAACAUAAUUUGUUGCUUAGUUCCUUCUUGCAAAAUGGACCUAAGAUUUCUUUGUUGUGAUAUUUCUAAAAAUAAAAGUAAUUCAUUAUAAUUAUGCUACUGUUUUGUCAUUUAUUAGAUAGCGAAUCAUUUUCUUACAUGUAACUUAAAAAAAUAGUACAAUGGAAGCAAGAACUUUUAAAACUAAUCGUUACAAUUAUCGUCUUCUGCCUCAAAAUCCAUAUGACCAGUAAAACUGUCGAUAUCGUCUUCUAUGUUGUUACUUUUCAGGGUUUUGUUAAACCGUGUUGUGCAUCUUUUGGUAUAAGGUGCAGAAUACUUUUUAUACUUGCUUUGGCAGUACAUAUACUAAAAUUGGAAUGAUAUAGAGAAGAUUAGCAUAGCCCCUGCGCAAGGAUGACACGCAAAAUCGUGAAGCGUUCCACAUUUUUUUUACUGGUGGUAGGACCUCUUGUGAUUCCGCACGACUAGGCACCACCGCUCUGCCUAUUUCUGCCGCGAAGCAGUAAUGCGUUUCGGUGGGCUGUGAGCUCGUCCACCCAUCAAAGCAAUAUAAUAAAAAUCUGUUAGUUUGUUCUCAGAUAUGGCUUUACCUGUAGGCCAAAGUAAGUCCAUAUCACUUUUGGAUAUAAUAGCCCUGCUUCUGAUGUUUUUCUUACUAUUAACCUCCUUCAAGACAACGUCCAGAAUGUUUUUGAUAAAAAUGGAGUACAUUUAAUCUUUCUUAAGCAUUAUUUCUUUGGUAUCCAGCCAACUUAUUUUCGAUCCAUCUUCUGCCUUCUUUCUAUUUGUGAUUUGUGCCUCUAAAUUGCCUGACUACAAAAAGUCUUCUUUGAUAAGCCUGUGUACAAUCAUUGGUUUAAUUUUUCGUCAUUUUUUCAUUAUCUCUUAUGUAGUCUCUGGGGUAUACAAUCAUUUAUUUGAGUAAUGAAUAUCUUCAAACUUAAAUGUUU